AUCUAGCUGACAUGUCCCAAAUGGGACGAAACUUGCGUCCUGGAU
Schistosoma rodhaini is the source of this 45-nucleotide non-coding RNA. The record is from Rfam. NCBI's taxonomy places the organism in Eukaryota, Metazoa, Platyhelminthes, Trematoda, Strigeidida, Schistosomatidae.